UGGGGAAUAUUGGACAAUGGGCGCAAGCCUGAUCCAGCCAUGCCGCGUGAGUGAUGAAGGCCCUAGGGUUGUAAAGCUCUUUCACCGGUGAAGAUAAUGACGGUAACCGGAGAAGAAGCCCCGGCUAACUUCGUGCCAGCAGCCGCGGUAAUACGAAGGGGGCUAGCGUUGUUCGGAUUUACUGGGCGUAAAGCGCACGUAGGCGGACUUUUAAGUCAGGGGUGAAAUCCCGGGGCUCAACCCCGGAACUGCCUUUGAUACUGGAAGUCUUGAGUAUGGUAGAGGUGGGUGGAAUUCCGAGUGUAGAGGUGAAAUUCGUAGAUAUUCGGAGGAACACCAGUGGCGAAGGCGGCUCACUGGACCAUUACUGACGCUGAGGUGCGAAAGCGUGGGAGCAAACAGG
RNAcentral lists this ribosomal RNA (403 nucleotides) under Actinomycetes bacterium. RNAcentral describes it as "Actinobacteria bacterium partial 16S ribosomal RNA". It matches the Rfam family "Bacterial small subunit ribosomal RNA", at positions 355 to 776 of the family's 1533-position model. Lineage: Bacteria; Bacillati; Actinomycetota; Actinomycetes. The record is from RNAcentral.